CCUGGCUCCGUUGAACGCUGGCGGCGCGCCUAACACAUGCAAGUCGAACGAGCGAGAGAGAGCUUGCUUUCUCAAGCGAGUGGCGAACGGGUGAGUAACGCGUGAGGAACCUGCCUCAAAGAGGGGGACAACAGUUGGAAACGACUGCUAAUACCGCAUAAGCCCACGGGUCGGCAUCGACCAGAGGGAAAAGGAGCAAUCCGCUUUGAGAUGGCCUCGCGUCCGAUUAGCUAGUUGGUGAGGUAACGGCCCACCAAGGCGACGAUCGGUAGCCGGACUGAGAGGUUGAACGGCCACAUUGGGACUGAGACACGGCCCAGACUCCUACGGGAGGCAGCAGUGGGGAAUAUUGCACAAUGGGGGAAACCCUGAUGCAGCGACGCCGCGUGGAGGAAGAAGGUCUUCGGAUUGUAAACUCCUGUUGUUGAGGAAGAUAAUGACGGUACUCAACAAGGAAGUGACGGCUAACUACGUGCCAGCAGCCGCGGUAAAACGUAGGUCACAAGCGUUGUCCGGAAUUACUGGGUGUAAAGGGAGCGCAGGCGGGAGAACAAGUUGGAAGUGAAAUCCAGGGGCUCAGCCCAUGAACUGCUUUCAAAACUGUUUUUCUUGAGUAGUGCAGAGGUAGGCGGAAUUCCCGGUGUAGCGGUGGAAUGCGUAGAUAUCGGGAGGAACACCAGUGGCGAAGGCGGCUUACUGGGCACCAACUGACGCUGAGGCUCGAAAGUGUGGGUAGCAAACAGGAUUAGAUACCCUGGUAGUCCACACCGUAAACGAUGAUUACUAGGUGUUGGAGGAUUGACCCCUUCAGUGCCGCAGUUAACACAAUAAGUAAUCCACCUGGGGAGUACGACCGCAAGGUUGAAACUCAAAGGAAUUGACGGGGGCCCGCACAAGCAGUGGAGUAUGUGGUUUAAUUCGACGCAACGCGAAGAACCUUACCAAGUCUUGACAUCCCUUGACGAUGCUGGAAACAGUAUUUCUCUUCGGAGCAAGGAGACAGGUGGUGCAUGGUUGUCGUCAGCUCGUGUCGUGAGAUGUUGGGUUAAGUCCCGCAACGAGCGCAACCCUUAUGGUCAGUUACUACGCAAGAGGACUCUGGCCAGACUGCCGUUGACAAAACGGAGGAAGGUGGGGAUGACGUCAAAUCAUCAUGCCCUUUAUGACUUGGGCUACACACGUACUACAAUGGCGUUAAACAAAGAGAAGCAAGACCGCGAGGUGGAGCAAAACUCAGAAACAACGUCCCAGUUCGGACUGCAGGCUGCAACUCGCCUGCACGAAGUCGGAAUUGCUAGUAAUCGUGGAUCAGCAUGCCACGGUGAAUACGUUCCCGGGCCUUGUACACACCGCC
This 1354-nucleotide ribosomal RNA is filed under the name uncultured bacterium. RNAcentral's name for it is "bacterial SSU rRNA". It matches the Rfam family "Bacterial small subunit ribosomal RNA", at positions 18 to 1394 of the family's 1533-position model. The record is from RNAcentral.